RNAcentral lists this unclassified non-coding RNA (211 nucleotides) under Fonsecaea pedrosoi. RNAcentral's name for it is "ITS2". The record is from RNAcentral. Lineage: Eukaryota; Fungi; Ascomycota; Eurotiomycetes; Chaetothyriales; Herpotrichiellaceae.
UCGAGCGUCAUUAUCACCCCCUCAAGCCCCUGUGCUUGGUGUUGGACGGCUUGGUGGAGCGAGUUCACACUUUCCACCCCUCCUAAAGACAAUGACGGCGGCCUGCGGAACCCCCGGUACACUGAGCUUCUUUAUUGAGCACGUAUCGGAUGAAGGGUGCCCGGGACCCGGUCUUCUCCCUCACGGGAACACUUUUUUUUUAAGGUUGACC